CGCGGCCUAUCAGCUUGUUGGUGAGGUAACGGCUCACCAAGGCGUCGACGGGUAGCCGGCCUGAGAGGGUGACCGGCCACACUGGGACUGAGACACGGCCCAGACUCCUACGGGAGGCAGCAGUGGGGAAUAUUGCACAAUGGGCGCAAGCCUGAUGCAGCAACGCCGCGUGAGGGACGACGGCCUUCGGGUUGUAAACCUCUUUUAGCAAGGAAGAAGCGAAAGUGACGGUACUUGCAGAAAAAGCGCCGGCUAACUACGUGCCAGCAGCCGCGGUAAUACGUAGGGCGCAAGCGUUAUCCGGAAUUAUUGGGCGUAAAGAGCUCGUAGGCGGUUCGUCGCGUCUGCUGUGAAAACCCGAGGCUCAACCUCGGGCCUGCAGUGGGUACGGGCGAACUAGAGUGCGGUAGGGGAGAUUGGAACUCCUGGUGUAGCGGUGGAAUGCGCAGAUAUCAGGAAGAACACCGAUGGCGAAGGCAGAUCUCUGGGCCGUAACUGACGCUGAGGAGCGAAAGGGUGGGGAGCAAACAGGCUUAGAUACCCUGGUAGUCCACCCCGUAAACGUUGGGAACUAGUUGUGGGGUCCACUCCACGGAUUCCGUGACGCAGCUAACGCAUUAAGUUCCCCGCCUGGGGAGUACGG
RNAcentral lists this ribosomal RNA (643 nucleotides) under uncultured Actinomycetes bacterium. RNAcentral's name for it is "bacterial SSU rRNA". It matches the Rfam family "Bacterial small subunit ribosomal RNA", at positions 232 to 885 of the family's 1533-position model. Lineage: Bacteria; Bacillati; Actinomycetota; Actinomycetes. The record is from RNAcentral.